CCUACGGGUGGCAGCAGUGAGGAAUAUUGGUCAAUGGGCGCGAGCCUGAACCAGCCAAGUCGCGUGAGGGAAGACGGUCCUAUUGAGUGUAAACCUCUUUUGUCGGGGAGCAAAAGACGCCACGCGUGGCGUUCCGAGAGUACCGGAAGAAAAAGCAUCGGCUAACCCCGUCCCAGCAGCAGCGGUACAACGGGGGAGGCGAGCCUUGUCCGGAUCGAUGGUGUUAAAAGGGUGCGAAGGCGGUCUGUUAAGUCAGCGGUCAAACCCCGGGGCGCAACCCCGGCCCGCCGUUGAAACUGGCAGUCUCGAGUUGGAGAGAAGUAUGCGGAAUGCGCGGUGUAGCAGUGAAAUGCAUAGAUAUCGCGAAGAACUCCGAUUGCGAAGGCAGCAUGCCGGCUCCACACUGACGCUGAGGCACGAAAGCGUGGGUAUCGAACAGGAUUAGAUACCCCAGUAGUC
RNAcentral lists this ribosomal RNA (459 nucleotides) under uncultured bacterium. RNAcentral's name for it is "partial 16S ribosomal RNA". It matches the Rfam family "Bacterial small subunit ribosomal RNA", at positions 338 to 795 of the family's 1533-position model. The record is from RNAcentral.